GGAAGUAAAAGUCGUAACAAGGUUUCCGUAGGUGAACCUGCGGAAGGAUCAUUACUGAUUUAGCGAACCGAGCGUUAGCGAGGUUUUGCGAUCAACUUGUAUUUAAAACCCACUCUUCAAUGUAUAAAAUUUGUAUUAAUGAUAAAUUAAAAGAUCACUUUCAACAACGGAUCUCUUGGCUCUCGCAUCGAUGAAGAACGUAGCGAAGUGCGAUAAGUAAUGUGAAUUGCAGUAUUCCGUGAAUCAUCGAACCUUUGAACGCAUAUUGCACUUUCUGGUAUUCCGGAAAGUAUGCCUGUUUGAGGGUCAGUUAAAUAAAAAUCGGUGUUGUUGCCGCUUUCCGUGGUGACGCGUCGGAAUUGAGUCGUCUUCGGUUAAGUGACUUAAAAUUUUAUACGAUUUUCGAACGUAUUUAAAUUUAUUUGAACGUUUGAUAUCGAAUGCUUAUUAGGUUCGGUCAUCCUCAUGACUCGCGCCUAUAAUUUUUCAUUAAAUGACCUCAAAUCAGGUAAGAAUACCCGCUGAACUUAAGCAUAUCAAUAAGCGGAGGA
This 551-nucleotide ribosomal RNA is filed under the name uncultured Glomus. Its description in RNAcentral is "eukaryotic LSU rRNA". The stretch from base 156 to 309 matches the Rfam family "5.8S ribosomal RNA". The record is from RNAcentral. Lineage: Eukaryota; Fungi; Glomeromycota; Glomeromycetes; Glomerales; Glomeraceae.